GGUGGGGCGUGCGCCUGGGCGGGCGUGAGGGGCCCGAGGGGCCCGAGCCGCCUGCGCCGCGGCUCAGCGGUAGCCGGUGUCUGUCUGGUGCCGGCAAACGGCCACCGCUCCCCAGGCGCCAGAUCAAAAGCUUCGUUCAGGGGAGGUUUGAGUCGGGGGGUCGCGGCCUCCUGCCCCCUCGGGCGGAAUAUUGGGGCCUUAUGAGCGGAUGGACUGAUCCUGAAAGGGGCGCAGGGCAGCCCUGAAGCGCAGCAUCGCUACUGGGGAGCUGAGCUCCGGUCUCCAGUCAAGCCGGCCGGGCCCUGGUCUCUUAACCAGUGCUGUCUGCCGAGUCUUUGCCAUCCGUCUUCGUUUAGUUCACGGGGGUUGGCUGCGGGCACUAGGGCAAGAGCUGAAAUAGUCACUGACCUGGGAGACUCAGGCUCUCCGACCUGCUCCUUCUCCUUUAUUUACAAGGGGAAAUCAUACUCUUCAUGCACUAGAGAGGGAAGCCAAGACAAGUGGCUCUGGUGCAUGACCACCAACAACUAUGACAAUGACGGCCAGUGGAACAUCUGGUCACCCAAGGCAGUUACUAACCCCAGACCUGUUGUAAUGAUGGGACAUCACAGUCCAGGACUGCUGCGCACACAGCCCCCAGCUGCUCCACUCUCUCUUCCCUCUCUGUGACAUCAGCCAGGCUGGUCUGUGCUUUUACCUUAAGAAUAAAGGAUGGCUGAGGAAGUCCGCAAGGUCCCCUUGAAGCCCAUCCUUGCCUGGGAGGAGACGAGACCUCCUCCAGGGAAGAGUUCACAGAAGAGCCCACAGCAGCAGCAGGAGCUGUGUGUGCCUCAGCCCUUCCAUGCUGAUUCACCAUCACCUGGGAAUGCCUCCUGCUUUAUGGGGCCAGACUUGCAGGAGAAAGAGACCCUAGAGUACAUCAACGCCUUUCUCAAGGGCAAUGAACAGGUACCAAGAA
This is a long non-coding RNA of Chelonia mydas (Green sea turtle), 958 nucleotides long. RefSeq lists it as uncharacterized. NCBI's taxonomy places the organism in Eukaryota, Metazoa, Chordata, Testudines, Cheloniidae. The transcript is spliced from 5 exons. The record is from RefSeq and is a predicted model, not a curated record.